GGAUGAUAGAAUGAGGAUCUGAAAGGAUCAUGACAGCCUGGGGCAAGGGGACAAAUCUAACAAGAUGGAUUUUAAUAGUAAAAGAUAGAAGAUUCUGCCCUUAGAUAAGACAAGCCAGGACUCAUGGUACAUUCCAGGAACUUGUUGAUAUAAAUCCCCAAGUUUGGGAUAAUCGAGUGUGGGUACCUAGUACACCUGCAUUGGGGGAGGAUAUGCUUUAGCAGUAGCAGGUGGCCAGUAGAUUGGAGGAUUUGGGCUGAAAGCUACUUGAAGGAGUACGAUGUAACUGCUAAAAUCCAGUGGGCUCUUAGGUUGCAGAAACAGAAAUAUAAACAACACUCAGUUGACCAUGGUUAUGGUAGGGAUUGGGGCUGUGGGAUGGAGGAAAGAGGAAUCAGAAUGUCUUCUUUUUGGCAUUCCCUUCAUGGCUCAGCAGUUAACCAACCUGACUAUGAUCCAGGAGGAUGCGGGUUCAAUCCCUGGCCUCACUUAGUGGGUUAAGGAUCUGGUGUGCUCUGAGCUGUGGUGUAGGUCACAGAGACGCGGCUCGGAUCCCGAGUUGCCGUGGCUGUGGUGUAGGUCGGCAACUGUAGCUCCAAUUCGACCCCUAGCUUGGAAACUUCAAUGUGCCACAGGAGCAGCCCUAAAAAGCAAAAAUAAAAAGAAUUUUAAAAAAAAGAAUGUCUUCUUUUUUAGGAAAAAAAUUCCCCUCAUUUGGUGCAGCAUGUCCUCCAUCAUUUUCCUGAGAAGGAAUGCGAGGAAAUUUUGUGAUAUUUGAUUUCUGGAAAAUGUUGCAUUUAGUUGGUACAUUGAACAGGAAAUUUUAGGUUGGAAAUAUCUUUAGAAUCUUGAAUGUGUACAAGCCAUUACCUCCUGACUUCCAUUAUUACUACUGAGAAGUCCAAUGGCAUUCUGCUUCUUGAUCCUUUGUGCAAAAUCUGCCUUUUCUCUUUGAAGUUUCUUCUCUUGUUCCAAGAGUUCUGAAAUUUCAGAAUGGUGUGCCUCAUUUAUUGGGUUGGUGUCUCUGGUAGUUUGUUCAAUGUUAAUGCGUGUAUUACCCUUCAGUUCUGAGAUUUUUUUUUUUUUUAGGAAGAGCCAUACCUAUAGCAUAUGGAAGCUCCCAAGCUAGAGGUUGAAUUGGAGCCACAGGUGCCCUCCUAUACCACAGCUCACAGCAACGCCAGAUCCUUAAUCCACUGAGCAAAGCCAUGGAUUGAACCAGCAUCCUCAUGGAUACUAGUCAGGUUUGUUUCUGCCAAGCCAUGAUAGGAACUCCUGAGAAAUUUUCUUGAGCUACUUCUUUGAUGAUUGUUUUCCUUCCAUUUUCUCCUUCCAGAAUUACUGUUAUCAUUUUGGUAUCUCUUUUCUAUGUGCCAGGUGCUGUUCUAACCAUUUAACAAACAUUAGCAAAUUUCCUUGCAACCCUAUUUUCCAUUUCUUUACAUUUUUGUUCUAUUUGGGGGGAAGAUUGCAAACUUUCUUUCAAGGUUUCCAUUUCUUAUGUUUCACUUUCUAAGUGUCCUUUUUAGUUCUCUGAAUGAUGGUUUUAAAAAGAAUAUCCUGUUCUUAUUUUGUGAAUGCAACAUCAUUAUUUGAGGAUAGGCUUUUUCUUUUUUAACCUUUUUUCUCUCUGGCUAGUUUCUGUUUCAUCCUAGUUGCUCUUGGUCUCUCUCAUAUUAGAGGUUCUCCUCAAAUAUCGACAGUUUUUGCCUACUAGUUCAUAUUUAAGAGUGAGCUACACUAAGAAGCUAAUUCAAAGCUCUCUGCACUUGAGUUUAUCAUGAGUGGUCAUCUUGGUAGGAUGGGAUGGAAGGUAUUUCAUUUGGGGAACAAUUAAUUCCAUUAUCCUUAGGUCUUUUCUUUAGGAUGGUCACAUUCCCCCGAGAGAACACUCCCAGUGCUUAACUGGUUAGAAUAUGAAUACCCCUGCCUUCUAGGCAUUAUCAGAGCAGAAUGGAGGGAUAGGGCCAUUCAGUGUCUAACCUUUUAUUUAAUUCUCUUGUUUUCAAUCUAUCCCUCUGCCCUCAACUGUGCUUAGCAUCUCUCAGUCUAGAGACCCUCUGUUUUACCUAUGCCAGAGAAUAAACACCAAGUCUUCACCCACAAUGAGGGGCUGGCAGCCGCUUAGAUACAUAAAGGUGGGGAAGGUGUCUGUAAGUCUAACUGCUUCUCAGACAGACACUAAAUCAAUUCUACUAAGUCCCACCUCCCCCUCCCCACUACCAGAGGAACCUGAUGCUCCCAGCUCCUGAGCCUCCGGAGGACCUGCAGUGUACACUACUGCAUCUUGGCUGUCCUUCACCUUCUGAUGUCUGCUGGGCAGAUGCAUCAUUGCUGAUGUCCUCUCUCCUAUUCUCUUUGUCCUUGUGGGCUCAUACCUUCAAAACAAGCCAUUUACUGUGAUUUUAGUGGGUUUGGUAAGGUCACAGAAAUUUAACCUGUUUACCAAGAAGCUCUGUGUAAAAUUUUUAUUAUAGCAUUUUAUAGAGGUCAAAAACUGAAUCUACCAGCAGACCCUCCAAUUAAGGGAAUUAUAGAAUUCACUGUGGUUCAUCUCUAUCUUGAGAUACUAGAUAAUCAUUGGAUUGAAGGAGUUUUCUCUAUUCUAAACCAUCUGAAGAAUAUACAUGAUGUAUUACUAUGUGAAAAGUAAGGCCCAGAAAAAUGUAUAGAAUAUGACUUCACUUUUAUAAAACAAAAUGGCAAAAUCCCUGUAAAAAUAUAUUUAUGAUAAUUUUAUGUUAAAUUUGACUUCCCAGUUUGCUGCAAGUGGGAGUGGGGAAAGGCUGAAGGAGAAAGUAAAAGACUAGAAGAAAACAAUUGAGUUUAUAAUAGAGAAUAAGUUUACUAUCCUAUUCGUGCUGCUUUACCUAUACAUUUGCACAUAUGCAGAAAGAUAGAUGAACACAUGGUCAUGGAAAUGUUAACAGUGAUUGACUCUGAGUAAGACUAUUUUUGUUUUUAUUCCUACUUCUUUCUGCACUUUUUUUUUUUUUUACAGUGAGCAUGUAUCAUGAAAAUAACAUGGAAAAACUGUUUAAAAAUAAAGUUCAGGAGUUCCUGCUGUGGUGCAGUGGGUUAAGAAUCUGAAUGCAGUGGCUUGGGUUAAUGCGGAGGUGAGGGUUUGAUCCCCAGCCUGGCGCAGUGGGUUAAAGGAUCUGGCGUUGCUGCAGCUGUGGUGUAGGUCACAGCUAUGGCUUAGAUUCAAUCCCUGGAUGGCAACUUCCAUGUGCCUCGGGUGCAGGCAUAAAAAUAAUUAAAUAAAGUUCAGGAGUUCCUGUCGUGGCUAAGCAGAAAUGAAUCUGACUAGGAUCCACAAGGAUGCAGGUUCGAUCUCUGGACUCACUCAGUGGGUUAAGGAUCCAGUGUCACUGUGAGCUGCGGUGUAGGCUGCAGAUGUGGCUCGGAUCCUAUGUUGCUGUGGCUGUGGUGUAGGCCAGCAGCUACAGCUCCCAUUCGACCUCUAGCCUGGUAACUCCUAUAUGCUGCAGGUGCAGCCCUAAAAAAGAUUUAAAAAGAAAAGUUCAGAGGUACCCCAAGGUGAAAAGAUCUACAAGUGGAGGUUGCAAGGUUUAUUCCCAGAAUAGUAGAUAAAGGCAUAGGCAUCACAGUCAGAAAGAUCUGAUUUCAAAUGCAGGCACGAACAUUAGUAAGGCUGCUCAGUGUAAAGCUGAAGAGCAAGGGUGGUCUGGGAUUUGGAGCUGGAGCUCCACCAGUUACUGGUUGUGUGAUUUGGGUGCAUAUUUAAAGUCCCUGUGCCUUGGUGUCCUCACUUGGAAGAAAGGGAUGACGGCAUGACUUGCCUCACAGUGUUCCAAUGGAAAUCAGAAGAGUUAAUAAUUAAAACUGUUCAGAACAAGGCUUGGCACCUAGUAAGUGAUACUGAGGUUUGAUGUUCCUCUUUUUCUGGCUUUUUUUUUUUUGCUUUUGCUUUUUAGGGUCACACCUUGGGCAUAUGGAAGUUCCCAGGCUAGUGGUCAAAUUGGAGCUGUACCUAUGCUACAGCCACAGCAACAACAACAUGGGAUCCGAGCUGCAUCUGCAACCUACACCGCAGAUCAUGGUAACUCGGGAUCCCCAACCCUCUGAGCGAGGCCAGGGAUCGAGCCUGCAUCCUCAUGGAUCUAGUCAGAUUCAUUUCUGCUGCACCACAAUGGGACCUCCUCUUUUUCUGGUCUUAAGUCAUGCAUGUUUUGUAUCAUUCCAUCUUAACUCAGAAUACUUUUUUAACUCUUCAGUGGUUGUCCUAGGGUUUAAAAUAUACAUUUUUAACUAAUCCAAGUCUACUUUCAAAUAACACUGUAUCUUUCACAUAUAGUAAAAGUAACUUGUAGCCGAGUAUUUCCGUCUUCCACCCCAUCGCACUGCUGUCAUUCAUUUCACGUAUACAUAUACUCGAAUCACCUAAUAUGUUGUUACUAUUAUUGCUUUAAACAAAAAUUUAUCUUUUAAGUCAAUCAAUUUUAUUAUACUCUUUCUCUUUUUAUGUAGAUAUUUUCAUUCCUUUGGCUUCUUUUAAUGUUUUUCUUUGAUUUCUUCAAUUUGCAUAUGAUAUUCUCAGGUGGUUGGUUUGGGGGGGUGAUAUUUUUCCUUUUUGAUUAUUCUGACUUCCAUUGGUCUGAAUUUUGGUGUCUUUCAUUAAUUUUGGAAAAUUCUCAGACAUUAUUACUUCAAGUAUUUCUUCUGCACUUUUCUUCACCUUCCAGUAUUCCAGUGAUAUGCAUAUUACACCUUUUGCUACUGUUCCACAGUUCUUGGAUGUUCUGUUCUGGUUUUAUCUUUCUUCAUUAUUUGUCUCUUCACAUUUCCCUUUAGCAAGUUUCUUUUGGCCUCUGGUUCAAGCACACUGAUUCUUCCUCAGAAACAUCAAAUCUACUGAGGAAACCAUCAAGGGCAUUCUUCAUUUCUCUUAAGGGAUUUUUGGUAUCUAGUAUUUCCUUUUGAUUCUUAGAUUUUCCAUCUCUCUUCUUAUAUUACUCAUCUGUUCUUGUAUGGUGUCUGCUUUUCCUAUUAGGGUCCUUAGUAUAUUAAAUCAUUGUUAUUUUAAAUUCCCUGUCUGAUAAUUCCUGUAUCUAUGUCAUAGCUGGGUCUGGUUCUAAUGACUGCUUUGUCUCUUUGGUCUGUGUUUUUUUCCUUGCCUUUUGGCAUUCCUUGAAAUUUUUUUGUUGGGUAUCAGGCAUGUUUUAUUGAAUAAUAGAAACUGAGGUAAAUAGGCUUCAGAAUGAGGACUUAGGCUAAUCUGACUAGAAGUUGGCCUAUGUUUAAUAUGUGCAGUAGCUAUAGGUACCAGAGGCUUAAAACUCCUCAGGUACCAUGCUUUGCCCCCUCUGUCGACUUCGGGCUUCCCUAUAUACUCCUCUAAGGAGAGAGUCAGUCUACAUCUUUCAGCUCUUUCAGCUGCAAUCCAUUGCUAUUAUCCUGGAACCCUGUUGGCACAUAAGUAAGUUGUGGAAAAGAGGUGACAUUCUGUAAUCUGCAAAUUAAAUCUCUGUCUUUUACUAGGCUUGUGUUUCUGGGCUGUGACCUUCACAAUUGUUUCUCCCUGCCCUUUCUACUCCCUUUCAUGGCUACAGAUUUCCCAAUUUAUUUCCUUGAAGGCCUGAUCCCUGUUACAUACGUUUUUGUUUUUAUCUUUUCUUUAAGCAAAACAGGGAGACAAAAGGAAGCCAGGGUGGGAGGAAUGCCCUUUUUCUGAGAUAAGGCUCGGCUGAUGUUUCUUUCCUGAAGUGUAUUAUGGAGAAUCCUUUGGUGUAUUUCAUAGUGAUUAUGCUUUUCCUUCCACGAGCAGAUUGACAAGGUGGUCAUUUCCUAAUCUUUACCUCGAGAAUCUUGUGGGUUUCUAGAGGCAAAGCCCACAUAAAGAGUGGAGCCCCCACUAAAACUGUGGGCCCCCAGCAGUUUCUCACCCUUGAGCUAGUCCACAUUCAGCUUCCAGCAAUUUCUCAAAAUUACCAUUAAGUGUUCUUACCAGUUUAUGGCUCCAGCUGCUUCUGCUCCAGAUCUUAGAGUAUUCUCUGUGUUCACCUCUCUCUCCAGAUUCAGGGGUGGCAGUUUGUCCCGUGAAUUUGGUUUUCCAAUGAGUCCAAGAAAAAUAAUUGAUAUUCAGUUUGCUCAGGUUUUCUUGUUAUUAGAAUGGGACUUCCAGAGUUUCCCUCAUGGCACAGGGGAAAUGAAUCCAACUAGGAACCAUGAGGUUGAGGGUUCAGUCCCUAACCUUGCUCGGUGGGUUAAGGAUGCUGUGGCUCUGAUGUAGGCUGGCAGCAACAGCUCCAAUUAGACCGCUAGCCUGGGAACCUCCAUAUGCUGCAGGUGAGACCCUAAAAANAAAAAAAAAAAAAAAAAAAAA
This 6346-nucleotide long non-coding RNA is filed under the name Sus scrofa (pig). RNAcentral describes it as "lncRNA (ENSSSCG00050050386.1)". Lineage: Eukaryota; Metazoa; Chordata; Mammalia; Artiodactyla; Suidae. The record is from RNAcentral.